This 910-nucleotide ribosomal RNA is filed under the name uncultured Halobacteria archaeon. Its description in RNAcentral is "bacterial SSU rRNA". It matches the Rfam family "Archaeal small subunit ribosomal RNA", at positions 382 to 1289 of the family's 1478-position model. The record is from RNAcentral. Lineage: Archaea; Methanobacteriati; Methanobacteriota; Halobacteria.
CGAGUGCGGAGGCAUAGUGCCUUCGCUUUUGUGCACCCUAAGGCGGUGCACGAAUAAGAGCUGGGCAAGACCGGUGCCAGCCGCCGCGGUAAUACCGGCAGCUCGAGUGAUGGCCGAUCUUAUUGGGCCUAAAGCGUUCGUAGCCGGCCGGGCAAGUUCGUCGGGAAAUCUACCAGCUCAACUGGUAGGCGUCCGGCGAAUACUGUCCGGCUUGGGACAGGGAGACUCGAAGAGUACGUCCGGGGUAGGAGUGAAAUCCCGUAAUCCUGGACGGACUACCGAUGGCGAAAGCACUUCGAGAGAACUGAUCCGACGGUCAGGAACGAAAGCUGGGGUCUCGAACCGGAUUAGAUACCCGGGUAGUCCCAGCUGUAAACGAUGUUCGCUAGGUGCGACGCAGACUACGAGUCUGUGUUGUGCCGUAGGGAAGCCGAGAAGCGAACCGCCUGGGAAGUACGUCCGCAAGGAUGAAACUUAAAGGAAUUGGCGGGGGAGCACUACAACCGGAGGAGCCUGCGGUUUAAUUGGACUCAACGCCGGACAUCUCACCAGCCCCGACUGUUCGAAUGAAGCUCAGUGUGAUGAGCUUAGCAGACGAACAGAGAGGAGGUGCAUGGCCGCCGUCAGCUCGUACCGUGAGGCGUCCUGUUAAGUCAGGCAACGAGCGAGACCCGCGUCCUUAAUUGCCAGCAAGACCCUUGAGGUCGUUGGGUACAUUAGGGAGACUGCCGCCGCCAAGGCGGAGGAAGGAACGGGCAACGGUAGGUCAGUAUGCCCCGAAUGGGCUGGGCUACACGCGGGCUACAAUGGUCAGGACAAUGGGUUCCUACUCCGAGAGGAGACGGUAAUCUCACAAACCUGGUCGUAGUUCGGAUUGUGGGCUGAAACUCGCCCACAUGAAGCUGGAUUC